UUAGGGGUAGUUUAAAAUAUCAGAAUGGUGGUUUUGGGAGUCAUUGGCGCACAGGGGUGCUCCCUAAA
Molecule: transfer RNA, 68 nt
Filed under: Gigantidas platifrons
Lineage: Eukaryota; Metazoa; Mollusca; Bivalvia; Mytilida; Modiolidae
Description: tRNA-Pro
Source: RNAcentral